This 252-nucleotide ribosomal RNA is filed under the name uncultured bacterium. RNAcentral's name for it is "partial 16S ribosomal RNA". It matches the Rfam family "Bacterial small subunit ribosomal RNA", at positions 524 to 776 of the family's 1533-position model. The record is from RNAcentral.
UACGUAGGGGGCAAGCGUUGUCCGGAAUCAUUGGGCGUAAAGAGCGUGUAGGCGGACUUAAAGGUCUGGUGUGAAAGCCCGGGCUCAACCCCGGAGGGUCACUGGAAACCAUAAGUCUUGAAUCUGGAAGAGGAGAGUGGAAUUCCUGGUGUAGCGGUGGAAUGCGCAGAUAUCAGGAGGAACACCAAUGGCGAAGGCAGCUCUCUGGUACAUGAUUGACGCUGAGACGCGAAAGCGUGGGGAGCGAACAGG